RNAcentral lists this ribosomal RNA (442 nucleotides) under uncultured bacterium. RNAcentral describes it as "partial 16S ribosomal RNA". It matches the Rfam family "Bacterial small subunit ribosomal RNA", at positions 338 to 795 of the family's 1533-position model. The record is from RNAcentral.
CCUACGGGUGGCAGCAGUGGGGGAUAUUGGACAAUGGGGGGAACCCUGAUCCAGCGACGCCGCGUGAGUGAAGAAGUAUCUCGGUAUGUAAAGCUCUAUCAGCAGGGAAGAAGAAAUGACGGUACCUGAGUAAGAAGCCCCGGCUAACUACGUGCCAGCAGCCGCGGUAAUACGUAGGGGGCAAGCGUUAUCCGGAAUUACUGGGUGUAAAGGGAGCGUAGACGGUGAUGUAAGUCUGGAGUGAAAUCCCAUGGCUUAACCAUGGAACUGCUUUGGAAACUGUGCAGCUAGAGUGCAGGAGAGGUAAGCGGAAUUCCUAGUGUAGCGGUGAAAUGCGUAGAUAUUAGGAGGAACACCAGUGGCGAAGGCGGCUUACUGGACUGUAACUGACGUUGAGGCUCGAAAGCGUGGGGAGCAAACAGGAUUAGAUACCCGAGUAGUC